GUACACGCUGUGACUAGCAUAUCAAUAAGCGGAGGAAAAGAAACUAACAAGGAUUCCCCUAGUAACGGCGAGUGAAGCGGGAAGAGCUCAAAUUUGAAAUCUUAAAGGGUUUCCCUUUACGAAUUGUAGUUUAAAGAAGUGUUUUCUGUUGAGGUUUUGGUAAAAGUUCUUUGGAAUAGGACAUCAUAGAGGGUGAGAAUCCCGUAUUUGACCUUUACUUUCAACUUUGUGAUACACUUUCAAAGAGUCGGAUUGUUUGGGAAUGCAGUCCAAAAUGGGUGGUAAAUUUCAUCUAAAGCUAAAUAUUGGCGAGAGACCGAUAGCGAACAAGUACCGUGAGGGGAAGAUGAAAAGAACUUUGAAAAGAGAGUUAAACAGUACGUGAAAUUGUCAAAAGGGAAGCGUUUGACACCAGUGUUGUUUUUCUGAAAAUCAAUUAAAGAACUGUUUAUGCUAAGUUGUUUAGACUUUAUCAGCUAACUGUUUAGUUUUGAGCUUUUCUUUAAUGCACUUUUCAGUUAACAAGUCAACAUCAAUUUCUUUUGCUGUAAAAAAGCUUGAGGAAGGUGGCUUGAGAUUCGUCUUAAGUGUUUAUAGCCUCUUGCCUAUGCAGUCGGAGAGAUUGAGGUCUGCAGCGUAGAUCCUUCGGGGCUAAAUGCAUUUGUGCUAAGUUAUAGCAUUUUAUAGACAACUUGUUGACUAUGAUUUGUCUUGUAGCUUACUCGCUUAUGUUAUUUUACCUACGCUUAGGAUGUUGAGUCGUAGAGCACGCAG
RNAcentral lists this ribosomal RNA (774 nucleotides) under uncultured Neocallimastigales. Its description in RNAcentral is "partial large subunit ribosomal RNA". It matches the Rfam family "Eukaryotic large subunit ribosomal RNA", at positions 22 to 628 of the family's 3401-position model. The record is from RNAcentral. Lineage: Eukaryota; Fungi; Neocallimastigomycota; Neocallimastigomycetes; Neocallimastigales.